AUGUGGAGUUGCAUCAGACUCUGGUUACAUGUAAAUUGGUCCCCUUCCUCCUUUGAAGACCUGCGGCAUUAUGUCAAUCUUCUUUCUGGCCAUUCUAAAAGAGUCUUCCUAGUUGGAUGGGCUGCGAUUGGCUGGUCGUUGUGGACUACUAGGAAUAAGUUCUCAAUUGAACAUAUUUUUCCGGCUAAUCCUGUCAAUUGCUUAUUUAAAGCCAAUGGUUUCUUGCAGCAGUGGAGAUUAUUGACUAAAGAAGGGGACCUCCAGGCCUUCGACGCCAUGCUAUCCAAGAUGAAAUCUACGGCGUCUGGGCUUCUUCGGCUUUCUUUGAGGACGGCUUCCUGA
This 342-nucleotide ribosomal RNA is filed under the name Triticum aestivum (bread wheat). Its description in RNAcentral is "partial small subunit ribosomal RNA". The record is from RNAcentral. Lineage: Eukaryota; Viridiplantae; Streptophyta; Magnoliopsida; Poales; Poaceae.